UUAAAAGCUGGAUUGCGUAUGCAUUACUGCUACUCUAUACUCCAGUUUUGUUUAGCAAGAUUACAUGGAGUAAUGCACCAUUUCCGGCAACACUUCCAUCGUUGUUGAAUCUCUUUCAAACAUUCCCUUAUCAAAUCUCAACAGAGGCCUGUUUUUUGGAUUUAAGAAUCUGCUCAAUCAACAGCGUCUCUUGCCAUCACCAAUCGUUGCAUUUGCAUCCCCAUAAACAUCGCUCAACAAACAAUCAUGAUCUGUGUAUGAUAUUCCAAGAACAGAUUCGAAAUCAUCGAUUGAAACCAUUCAAUUUAGAUAACAGAAAAAAGACACUAAAUCCUAGAUUAGAUCAAAAGGAGUCAAACACUGGUGAUAACCCACUCCGCGCCUUGAGUGUCAACGCCGGCGAGGGUGGCUUUUUGGAGGGUUUCCCGUGGCGGUUUGCAAGUGGCGGUUAUGGGCAGCUCUGGUUGUGGUGGAAGCAAAGGGAUUUGAAUCUGGUGACUGGAAUGAAAGCGGUUUUUGGCGGUGGAUUCUCACACUACAAGAGAGACAAGGAUGGCUUCCGUGUUUUCGACUUUUGGUAGGUGAGAAAAAAACAUUGAUAAAGGUUAGUUUUGUCAUUUAAGUUAACGAAACUUGAAGAGGCUGUGCCGGUAUAGCAUUUUCCUUGGCUAUAAAAAAAAAAUAAUGGACAUGGAUGGACUCAUUGGUUAGGGUGGGCUAGCAUAUGGCGGAGCUCAGGCUGCGUACAGUAUGAAUGUGCUGCCGGCAGAUUAUAUGUAAAGCGUGUAGAUGUCACCGACACUAAUCCAUGUGGUGAUGGGAACUCCACGUGGACCAUCUGCUAUUGUCCAUCCCACGCAAAUGUCAUUCCUUUACAGUGAUUUUGAAGUGGGGCCUUUAAAAUUUAUCUUUGAUUUUUUUCCUGUUGAGUUUUAGAUAAAUUGAUUUUAUUUGUAUUAUGCAUUUACAAGACUGAAAGUCUUAAAUACCUCGCAAUCAAACUAAAUCUCGGUCAUAAAUACAAUGAAAGUGCAUACUGUAAAAAAACAAUCGAGUUAAAAUGUUUGUAUUUUUUUAUCUGUUUUUUACCUUUU
Long non-coding RNA from Populus trichocarpa (black cottonwood), 1094 nucleotides. RefSeq lists it as uncharacterized. Lineage: Eukaryota; Viridiplantae; Streptophyta; Magnoliopsida; Malpighiales; Salicaceae. The transcript is spliced from 2 exons. The record is from RefSeq and is a predicted model, not a curated record.